RNAcentral lists this ribosomal RNA (904 nucleotides) under Pantoea sp. Its description in RNAcentral is "partial 23S ribosomal RNA". It matches the Rfam family "Bacterial large subunit ribosomal RNA", at positions 13 to 961 of the family's 2925-position model. RNAcentral also lists the same sequence under 1 other name. Lineage: Bacteria; Pseudomonadati; Pseudomonadota; Gammaproteobacteria; Enterobacterales; Erwiniaceae. The record is from RNAcentral.
AAGCGUACACGGUGGAUGCCCUGGCAGUCAGAGGCGAUGAAGGACGUGCUAAUCUGCGAAAAGCGCCGGCGAGGUGAUACGAACCUUUGACCCGGCGAUGUCCGAAUGGGGAAACCCAGUGUGAUUCGUCAACACUAUCGUUAACUGAAUACAUAGGUUAACGAGGCGAACCGGGGGAACUGAAACAUCUAAGUACCCCGAGGAAAAGAAAUCAACCGAGAUUCCCCCAGUAGCGGCGAGCGAACGGGGAGCAGCCCGGAGUCUGAAUCAGCUUGUGUGUUAGUGGAACGGACUGGAAAGUCCGACGGUACAGGGUGAUAGUCCCGUACACGAAAGCACACAGGUUGUGAACUCGAAGAUAGGGCGGGACACGUGGUAUCCUGUCUGAAUAUGGGGGGACCAUCCUCCAAGGCUAAAUACUCCUGACUGACCGAUAGUGAACCAGUACCGUGAGGGAAAGGCGAAAAGAACCCCGGCGAGGGGAGUGAAAAAGAACCUGAAACCGUGUACGUACAAGCAGUGGGAGCCUCUUUAUGGGGUGACUGCGUACCUUUUGUAUAAUGGGUCAGCGACUUAUAUUCUGUAGCAAGGUUAACCGUAUAGGGGAGCCGAAGGGAAACCGAGUCUUAACUGGGCGUUAAGUUGCAGGGUAUAGACCCGAAACCCGGUGAUCUAGCCAUGGGCAGGUUGAAGGUUGGGUAACACUAACUGGAGGACCGAACCGACUAAUGUUGAAAAAUUAGCGGAUGACCUGUGGCUGGGGGUGAAAGGCCAAUCAAACCGGGAGAUAGCUGGUUCUCCCCGAAAGCUAUUUAGGUAGCGCCUCGUGAACUCAUCUUCGGGGGUAGAGCACUGUUUCGGCUAGGGGGCCAUCCCGGCUUACCAACCCGAUGCAAAMUGCGAA